GUUGAGUAGUUUCUUCUAUUUGGUCGGGCUUCUGUUUCUUCGACAUUUUCCUCAUUUCCAUUCUCAAUUUUAUCAAGGAUUUACUAUACUCAAAGAUUUUUUACUUUGCGGAAGCAACGUAAAAAAGGAAUGGACAGCAAAUUUGCAUGUGAUUCUUGUAAAUUACAGUUAAGAUCAGUUAACAGAGAAAAUAAUGUCAAAAACAGUGAACACUUAAGUAUUAAGUAACAGAUAACUGGAAUCUCAAUUUCAAAUAAACAGUUAACAACAUUGCAAAUUUUAACAAAACAGAUUACAGACAGUGGGUCGAACAGUUAAGUGUUUUUAAAUUUAUCAGUCAAAUAACAGUUUUAAACAAAUUAAAACCUUGAAAAAGACAAAAACAGUUUAAUUUAAAAAGGACCCCCCCCUUCCCCACCCCUUAGAUAUUUGAACUUAAUACUUUAUUUUCUUUGAAAGGACGG
RNAcentral lists this long non-coding RNA (464 nucleotides) under Mytilus galloprovincialis (Mediterranean mussel). Lineage: Eukaryota; Metazoa; Mollusca; Bivalvia; Mytilida; Mytilidae. The record is from RNAcentral.